GAGGAAGGUGGGGAUGACGUCAAGUCCUCAUGGCCCUUAUGUCCUGGGCUACACACGUGCUACAAUGGCGGUGACAGUGGGAAGCCAGGCAGCGAUGCCGAGCUGAUCCUCAAAGGCCGUCUCAGUUCGGAUUGCACUCUGCAACUCGGGUGCAUGAAGGUGGAAUCGCUAGUAAUCGUGGAUCAGCAUGCCACGGUGAAUACGUUCCCGGGCCUUGUACACACCGCCCGUCACACCAUGGGAUUUGGUUUGACCUUAAGUUGGUGCGCCAACCGCAAGGAGGCAGCCAACCACGGUCGGGUUAGAGACUGGGGUGAAGUCGUAACAAGGUAGCCGUAA
RNAcentral lists this ribosomal RNA (339 nucleotides) under uncultured bacterium. Its description in RNAcentral is "bacterial SSU rRNA". It matches the Rfam family "Bacterial small subunit ribosomal RNA", at positions 1166 to 1505 of the family's 1533-position model. The record is from RNAcentral.